RNAcentral lists this ribosomal RNA (2859 nucleotides) under Rhodocytophaga aerolata. RNAcentral's name for it is "23S ribosomal RNA". It matches the Rfam family "Bacterial large subunit ribosomal RNA". Lineage: Bacteria; Pseudomonadati; Bacteroidota; Cytophagia; Cytophagales; Rhodocytophagaceae. The record is from RNAcentral.
AGACAAGUUACAAAGGGCGUAUGGAGGAUGCCUAGGCUCUCAAAGGCGAAGAAGGACGUGAUAAGCUGCGAAAAGCUAUGGGGAGAGGCACAUACUCUGCGAUCCAUAGAUAUCCGAAUGGGGCAACCCGGCUGUUUGAAGAACAGUCACCUGGUAACAGGAGCAAACCUGCCGAACUGAAACAUCUAAGUAAGCAGAGGAAGAGAAAACAAAUAGUGAUUUCCCAAGUAGUGGCGAGCGAACGGGAAAGAGCCCAAACCGGAAGUGUUACGGCACUUUCGGGGUAGUAGGACCACUUUUUAGAACUAACCAUCAACAAGAACCCUGUGGGAAAAGGGGCGAGACAAGGUGAGAGCCCUGUAUUGGCAAGUGCGUUAGUUUGUAGUGGGAUCCUGAGUAGGGCGGGGUAGGAGACGCCCCGUCUGAAUCUGCCGGCACCAUCCGGCAAGGCUAAAUACUCUUGAGAGACCGAUAGUGGACAAGUACCGUGAGGGAAAGGUGAAAAGAACCGGGCAUACCGGAGUGAAAAGAACCUGAAACCAUACGCUUACAAGCGGUCGGAGCAGACUAGUUCUGUGACGGCGUGCCUUUUGCAUAAUGAGCCUACGAGUUACUGUUUCUAGCCAGGUUAAGUAUCUGUAGAUACGCAGCCGCAGCGAAAGCGAGUCUGAAUAGGGCGUAUAGUUAGAGGCAGUAGACGCGAAACUUUGUGAUCUACCCAUGAGCAGGUUGAAGUUGCCGUAACAGGCAAUGGAGGACCGAACUAGUAUCCGUUGAAAAGGAUUUGGAUGACUUGUGGGUAGGGGUGAAAGGCCAAUCAAACUGAGAAAUAGCUCGUACUCCCCGAAAUGUUUUUAGGAACAGCCUCGUGGUCAGAGUGUGUUAGAGGUAGAGCUACCGAUAGGACUAGGGGGUGUCACAACCUACCAAAUCCUGACGAACUCCGAAUGCUAAACACAUAUACACGGGAGUGAGGGCUUGGGUGCUAAGGUCCAAGUCCGAAAGGGAAAGAACCCAGCCCAACAGCUAAGGUCCCAAAAUCUAUGCUAAGUUGAACAAAGGAAGUCUACCUGCAAAGACAGCCAGGAUGUUGGCUUGGAAGCAGCCAUUCAUUUAAAGAGUGCGUAACAGCUCACUGGUCGAGCGGGUGGGGCAUCGAUAAUAAACGGGCAUCAAGCAUAGUACCGAAGCUUUGGAUAAUAUAGGUUACCUAUAUUGUGGUAGGGGAGCAUUCCUGCAGCAGAGAAGCGGAAGGCGGCAAGCCACCGUGGAGCGGCAGGAAAAGCAAAUGUAGGCAUAAGUAACGAUAAGGCAGGUGAGAAACCUGCCCACCGAUAGACUCAGGUUUCCUGAUCAACGUUAAUCGGAUCAGGGUUAGUCGGGGGCUAAGGGGUUAGCGAAAGCGAAGCCUCGAUGCAAGACAGGUUAAUAUUCCUGUACUUGAGCAGUCAGUCAGCAGAUGACGGAGUAAGCAAGGGUUUGCGCACAGACGGAAUUGUGCGUUGAAGGUGCUAUGGCACUGAUAGUACCUGAAGGCUUCGGCCGGAGGGAUAAUGACCCGGAGGAGCUUCCAAGAAAAGUUUGUCUGACAAUGAUUGUUCAACCCGUACCGCAAACCGACACAGGUAGUCAAGUGGAGAACACUAAGGUGCUCGAGUGAAUCACGGCUAAGGAACUCGGCAAAAUAACCCUGUAACUUCGGGAGAAGGGGAGCCUACUUAGCAAUAAGAGGUCGCAGAGAAAUGGCCCAGGCGACUGUUUAACAAAAACACAUGGCUUUGCAAAAACGAAAGUUGACGUAUAAGGCCUGACACCUGCCCGGUGCUGGAAGGUUAAGGGGGGGAGUUAGCGCAAGCGAAGCUCUGAACUGAAGCCCCAGUAAACGGCGGCCGUAACUAUAACGGUCCUAAGGUAGCGAAAUUCCUUGUCGGGUAAGUUCCGACCUGCACGAAUGGUGUAACGAUCUGGGCGCUGUCUCAGCCGUGAGCUCGGUGAAAUUGUAGUAGCGGUGAAGAUGCCGCUUACCCGCAACGGGACGGAAAGACCCCGUGCACCUUUACUAUAGCUUCACAUUGACUUUGGGUAACGCAUGUGUAGGAUAGGCCGGAGGCUAUGAAGGGGUGUCGCUAGGCAUCCUGGAGCCGCCCUUGAAAUACGGCCCUUGCUUUACCUAGAGCCUAAUCUGUAAUAAGAGACAGUGUGUGGUGGGUAGUUUGACUGGGGUGGUCGCCUCCAAAAGAGUAUCGGAGGCUUUCAAAGGUACCCUCAGCACGCUUGGUAACCGUGCGUAGAGUGCAAUAGCAGAAGGGUGCUUGACUGUGAGACUAACAAGUCGAGCAGGGUCGAAAGACGGAUAUAGUGAUCCGGUGGUUCCAUAUGGAAGGGCCAUCGCUCAAAGGAUAAAAGGUACGCCGGGGAUAACAGGCUGAUCUCCCCCAAGAGCUCACAUCGACGGGGAGGUUUGGCACCUCGAUGUCGGCUCGUCACAUCCUGGGGCUGGAGAAGGUCCCAAGGGUUCGGCUGUUCGCCGAUUAAAGUGGCACGCGAGCUGGGUUCAGAACGUCGUGAGACAGUUCGGUCCCUAUCUGUUGCGGGCGUUAGGAUAUUUGAAGAGGCGCUGACCUUAGUACGAGAGGACCGGGUUGGACCAACCGCUGGUAUAUCAGUUGUUUUGCCCAAGGCAUCGCUGAGUAGCCACGUUGGGAGCAGAUAAGCGCUGAAAGCAUCUAAGUGCGAAACUGACCUCAAGAUGAGAUAUCCCUGAAGGGUCGUGGGAGAUGACCACGUUGAUAGGUGGCAAGUGUACAAGUUGAAAGACUCUGAGCUGAGCCAUACUAAUUGCCCGAUAGGCUUCUCUUA